This 387-nucleotide unclassified non-coding RNA is filed under the name soil metagenome. RNAcentral's name for it is "partial contains 5.8S ribosomal RNA, internal transcribed spacer 2, and large subunit ribosomal RNA". The stretch from base 1 to 120 matches the Rfam family "5.8S ribosomal RNA", at positions 35 to 154 of the family's 154-position model. The record is from RNAcentral.
GAUGAAGAACGCAGCGAAAUGCGAUAAGUAAUGUGAAUUGCAGAAUUCAGUGAAUCAUCGAAUCUUUGAACGCACCUUGCACCCUUUGGUAUUCCGAAGGGUAUGCUCGUUUGAGUGUCAUUGUACUCUCACACUUCUAAUUCCUUUCGGGAUUGGGAGCGGUGGACUUGGGUGUUGCUGCUUUAGUUGUGGCUCACCUCAAAUAAGUUAGUGCAACUCUUGGUUGGAUAUAGUACGGCGUGAUAAGUGUCUUCGCCGGCGCCUCUGUAAGGAGGGUGGCCGAUCGGGAGCUCUGUGCUUCAAACCGUCUUCGGACAAUCUUUGACAACUUGACCUCAAAUCGAGUAGGACUACCCGCUGAACUUAAGCAUAUCAAUAAGCGGAGGA